CGGGGUUCGUGGGAUUUAAUUUAAAAAUAUUCUACUAGAUACCGAAUUUCUAGGAAGUUCACCAUGUUGAUUCUGGCAUUCAACUCGAGCUAUUGUACCGAAAUAAACGCCGGUAGGCAGGCAAUUCGCUUGACUGAUUUGUAUAACGUGAUGCGUGUAUCUUACUGCGUGUAUGGAUCUGUGUGUGGACUUUGGCAUACAAUUGCUAUUGGAUGAAACGGAUGAAACUACUGAAUUGACAAUAGAGUUAGAUUCUGUUAUGCAACGGUUUAUCUUUCUCCUGUGGAAGACACUUAAUCGUUUUCAUGAGUACCGCCUAUGGAUACCUGCAGAGCUAUCUGUAUGCAGAUUGUGUUAUCACCAUUGCAUACUGUACUCGUGUAGAGUGGAGACGCCAAAGGCGAUAUCGUUAAUCCGAUCUGGGAAAUGUCAUUUCCCAGAAUUUAUAUUAGUACAAGAAGAAAGGUUACGACCUUGUCAACAAAAAAUGAGGACUAUUUCGCUGGAUUUCACUUUCGAUGACCUCGACCAAGCCGCUAACCAAAAACGAAAAGCGAACCAUAACCUCAGUCAAGACGUCUACAAUAUGGAGAUUGAUACAGAUCUCUUCCAUAUCGACCGAGCGUCAAUUCUCAUUUCGUCACGUCAAGAAUGUCCGCAACAAUAUGUCGCGCGAUGUAACACGUCGGCGCUGUUUACUUCUCAAAAAUUUGACGAGAACUCCGUUAAACAAAAAACUCGCACCCAGUUGAAAUGCAUCGUAAUAUCAGCAAGAGAUACGUAUUGAGAAUACAAAGUAUAAUAAAUUGUAACUCACCUCUAAACACGUCCAUUUUAUGUGGGAUUAUUCUGUAGAGCUAAACGCAGCUUGUUCUACCUCGACUAACCCACGUGUCCACCUACACGUAGAACUUUCCCCUGAGUCAGUGAUCACAGAAGCCUGAGUCUCAUAGUACCACAGUAAGAAGUAUUACGUUUCCCAGCACAGUCCAAUUGUCAAGAUAUCUCAAAGGAUAAAGAUAAAAAGAAGAUGGAUCAGUGUUUAACCACAAUUUAAAUCCGCCAAGAAGUGAUGCCAAAUAUUUAAACUACACCUGAAAGAGAACCCACCAAUAAUAAAUUCAAUGUAAAUAAAAAAGUUCAUCAAAAAUUAUCCAAAUCCA
Cephus cinctus (wheat stem sawfly) is the source of this 1163-nucleotide RNA transcript. RefSeq lists it as uncharacterized. The transcript has 6 exons. The record is from RefSeq and is a predicted model, not a curated record. Lineage: Eukaryota; Metazoa; Arthropoda; Insecta; Hymenoptera; Cephidae.